GGGGGUUUAUGACAAAGUUGAGCGACCUCAUGUCACUCAAACCAGCUGUAUUAAGGAAGGUGCAAGCUUUUGGGAUUUCUGUUUGGAUUUAGUUUAGGUUCAAAAGAGCACGCACAGAUCCUGAGUGUUGUCAAGCACCCGUGACUGGGAAACGGAGGCGUCCGAUCCGUAUUGGAGUCAAUUCGCCACUUAAUUGAACACAGCCUCGAAGGGAAGGGCCAUAUUUGUGGGCCUGUCUAACAAUUAAGAGUGACCACAUGGAAUGGGGGAUGAAAGGGUUAAAGAAGAACAAAUAUUGAACACAGCUUUUCUAUGAACAAACUGCAGGCAGCUGCUGCUUUGCAAGUUUCAGGGGUUACUCCAUCAUUAUCAUGGCAGGGAACAUGGCAGGAUGCAGGCAGAUGGUAGCUGAGAGUUCUACAUCUGGAUCCACAAAAAACCCUUUGAAAAGAUUCAGCACGUUGCCAUGGAGAACAUCCCACUGAAGGAAUGUAUAGAAGUAGCAGGUGUCAGCUGCCUACCAGUUGCUUUCAUCUCUAGAAAUCUGUGACUUGCAGUAUGACAAGAACAAAAGGUGACAAUACAAAGGACAAAGGGCAAGGAAUACAGACGGAGAAGCCGCUUAGAGUCUAGGAUGGCAGAGGUUCUCUUGAUCAUUUCAUUUUUGAGCGCUUGUAGAGCUUUGGUGUACCAGAGGUGCUUGAACAGCUUACCACACCACAGAUGAAUGGCCUUUGGAUUUCUCCUAAGAAAAUGUGGCUACCUGAAAUUCAACUCCAUUUUCUGGUCUUCAAUAUUUCUUUUGUGUUCAGUUUGCCAGCUGAGGAGAAGUGGCUAAGCAUAGCCUGUUACUGAUGCUAAAGCCCAAGUUCUGAACCUAACAACUCCAGCAACAUGAUCCUGUUUCAAGAGACAAAAAAGUGACUAAUGAAAGAAAACAAUUGAUGUGCUAUGUAGAGUUUAAAAGAAGGUAAAGAGAAUAAAUUAAAAGCAACAACUCUCU
RNAcentral lists this long non-coding RNA (1003 nucleotides) under Mus musculus (house mouse). RNAcentral describes it as "predicted gene 14461". Lineage: Eukaryota; Metazoa; Chordata; Mammalia; Rodentia; Muridae. The record is from RNAcentral.